RNAcentral lists this ribosomal RNA (440 nucleotides) under uncultured bacterium. Its description in RNAcentral is "partial 16S ribosomal RNA". It matches the Rfam family "Bacterial small subunit ribosomal RNA", at positions 338 to 795 of the family's 1533-position model. The record is from RNAcentral.
CCUACGGGAGGUAGCAGUGGGAAUAUUGCAACAUUGGGGAAACCCUUAUGCCGCAACGGCGCCUGAGUGAGGAAAUAUUUCGGUAUGUAAAGCUCUAUUAGCAGGGAAUAGAAAAGAAGGUACCUGAAAAAGAAGCCCCGGCUAACUACGUGCCAGCAGCCGCGGUAAUACGUAGGGGGCAAGCGUUAUCCGGAUUUACUGGGUGUAAAGGGAGCGUAGACGGGAAGGCAAGUCAGAAGUGAAAGCCCAAGGCUCAACCAUGGGACUGCUUUUGAAACUGUCAAACUAGAGUACGGGAGAGGUAAGAGGAAUUCCUAGUGUAGCGGUGAAAUGCGUAGAUAUUAGGAGGAACACCAGUGGCGAAGGCGUCUUACUGGACCGAAACUGACGUUGAGGCUCGAAAGCGUGGGGAGCAAACAGGAUUAGAUACCCGUGUAGUC